This is a long non-coding RNA of Thrips palmi, 596 nucleotides long. RefSeq lists it as uncharacterized. The record is from RefSeq and is a predicted model, not a curated record. The transcript is spliced from 2 exons. NCBI's taxonomy places the organism in Eukaryota, Metazoa, Arthropoda, Insecta, Thysanoptera, Thripidae.
GCACUUUGGCGCGCACUGUGCUUGUGGCGUCGGAUCCUUACUUCUAUUUAUUUUUCUGUUAACUAUAGUAAAUUCAUUUCUCCAAAGAAAAGAAAUCACGCACGAAGAUGUUCAGUUCUCAGGUGCACCAAUAAGAAGAAUACUUCAAAGCCUGGUGCAGGCUUAUUUCGUGUUUCAAUCCAAAUCAGAAAGUGCCGGUGCUCUUUGCGGAAACCUUGACCCUCUGGAGUUGCCCAAGAUUCUGGAACGAUAACCUGCACCACUAUGCAAUUACAUGUGGAACAAGAACUGACUCCUGUGCUUCAGUGUCAAAUUAAGUGAAUUUCCUGCGACAGAGCAAAGUAAGCAUGACACCUUGGAAUCAGUGCUAAUGGAAUUUCUUUCAGUCAUUUUGGCUUAUUUUUUAAUCAAGGGGUGUUACAGUUAUGGUUGCUGUAUUUUCUUUUCAGUCCAACUGAGAUUCCUCUUUUAAAUAUUUUGUUUUUGAGUCCUGUCCACCAUUUUUGUCUCCAUAUUUUCUGUUGUUCGUGACAAGUCCUAUCGUUUGAUUUUUAAUUUAAAAAGGUCAGUGAAUAAAUACAUUUUUCCUAACAGUU